This 468-nucleotide ribosomal RNA is filed under the name uncultured bacterium. Its description in RNAcentral is "partial 16S ribosomal RNA". It matches the Rfam family "Bacterial small subunit ribosomal RNA", at positions 28 to 507 of the family's 1533-position model. The record is from RNAcentral.
GACGAACGCUGGCGGCGUGCUUAACACAUGCAAGUCGAACGGAAAGGCCCAGCUUUUGUGGGGUGCUCGAGUGGCGAACGGGUGAGUAACACGUGAGUAACCUGCCCUUGACUUUGGGAUAACUUCAGGAAACUGGGGCUAAUACCGGAUAGGAGCUCCUGCUGCAUGGUGGGGGUUGGAAAGUUUCGGCGGUUGGGGAUGGACUCGCGGCUUAUCAGCUUGUUGGUGGGGUAGUGGCUUACCAAGGCUUUGACGGGUAGCCGGCCUGAGAGGGUGACCGGCCACAUUGGGACUGAGAUACGGCCCAGACUCCUAAGGGAGGCAGCAGUGGGGAAUAUUGCACAAUGGGCGGAAGCCUGAUGCAGCAACGCCGCGUGCGGGAUGACGGCCUUCGGGUUGUAAACCGCUUUCGCCUGUGACGAAGCGUGAGUGACGGUAAUGGGUAAAGAAGCACCGGCUAACUACGUG